UGAGGAACAUGACCUUCGGCGGGGGAUAGCCGGCCCAACGGCCGGGUAAUACCGCGUACGACCACAUGGGGACAUCCCUGAGUGGUGAGAGCAGCAAUGCGCCGAUGGAGUGCCUCGCGGCCUAUCAGCUAGUUGGUGAGGUAACGGCUCACCAAGGCGACGGACGGGUAGCUGGUCUGAGAGGAUGGCCAGCCACAGUUGGGACUGAGACACGGCCCAGACUCCGUAACGGGG
Molecule: ribosomal RNA, 234 nt
Filed under: uncultured bacterium
Lineage: Bacteria
Description: partial 16S ribosomal RNA
Rfam family: Bacterial small subunit ribosomal RNA
Source: RNAcentral